UACAGAGGGUGCAAGCGUUAAUCGGAAUGACUGGGCGUAAAGCGUGUGUAGGUGGUUGGAUAAGUUAGAUGUGAAAUCCCUGGGCUUAACCUGGGCACUGCGUUUAAGACUGUUUAACUAGAGUAUUGUAGAGGAUAGUGGAAUUUCCAGUGUAGCGGUGAAAUGCGUAGAUAUUGGAAGGAACACCAGUGGCGAAGGCGACUAUCUGGACAGAUACUGACACUGAGACACGAAAGCGUGGGGAGCAAACAGG
RNAcentral lists this ribosomal RNA (253 nucleotides) under uncultured bacterium. Its description in RNAcentral is "partial 16S ribosomal RNA". It matches the Rfam family "Bacterial small subunit ribosomal RNA", at positions 524 to 776 of the family's 1533-position model. The record is from RNAcentral.